Molecule: non-coding RNA, 169 nt
Organism: Nerophis lumbriciformis (worm pipefish)
Lineage: Eukaryota; Metazoa; Chordata; Actinopteri; Syngnathiformes; Syngnathidae
Source: RefSeq, a predicted model, not a curated record
GGGGAACGGUGUGCAUGGUGUCCAUCCAUGUCAUGUGUUGUUGCCGGUCUGCGUUUUGCAGGCUGUGUGUCAACGCUCACUCCAUGCCCUGCAGCCACAAAACAUAAGGAGAUCAUAGUACUGGCCAUUGUUGAUCACGGAUGGCCAGCCUCCAAACUCUCCGACAUUU